GAUGAACGCUGACAGAAUGCUUAACACAUGCAAGUCUUUGGCGAAGCUGUGCUUGCACAGCCUAGCCAAGGCGGACGGGUGAGUAACGCGUAAGGAACUUGCCCUGCAGUCAGGGAUAACAGACGGAAACGACUGAUAAGACCUGGUAAAGUCAGGCGGACUCAUGUCCAGCCUGAUGAAAAGAGAUGCUGCAGGAGAGCCUUGCGUCCUAUUAGCUUGUUGGUGGGGUAACGGCCCACCAAGGCGAUGAUAGGUAGCCGGCCUGAGAGGGUGGACGGCCACAAGGGGACUGGGAGACGGCCCUUACUCCUCCGGGAGGCAGCAGUGGGGAAUAUUGGACAAUGGGGGCAACCCUGAUCCAGCAAUUCUGUGUGCACGAUGAAGGUUUUCGGAUUGUAAAGUGCUUUCAGCAGGGAAGAAAAAAAUGACGGUACCUGCAGAAGAAGCGACGGCUAAAUACGUG
RNAcentral lists this ribosomal RNA (463 nucleotides) under uncultured bacterium. Its description in RNAcentral is "partial 16S ribosomal RNA". It matches the Rfam family "Bacterial small subunit ribosomal RNA", at positions 28 to 507 of the family's 1533-position model. The record is from RNAcentral.